Molecule: non-coding RNA, 132 nt
Filed under: Erwinia tasmaniensis
Lineage: Bacteria; Pseudomonadati; Pseudomonadota; Gammaproteobacteria; Enterobacterales; Erwiniaceae
Description: Hfq-regulated sRNA 21
Rfam family: Hfq-regulated sRNA 21
Source: Rfam by way of RNAcentral
AGAUUAUCAAAAGUCUCAGGUAUUGGCUUGCACGUAAGCUAUGUUCAGACCGGAUCUUGUCAUGACUGAUACUCAUCAGGUUGGUAUCAUCCCGGCCACCAUGCGCCCGUCACUCUGUACCCUGCACAUAAU